UACGGGGGGGGCAAGCGUUGUUCGGAAUUACUGGGCGUAAAGGGCUCGUAGGUGGCCAACUAAGUCGGACGUGAAAUCCCUCGGCUUAACCGGGGAACUGCAUCCGAUACUGGAUGGCUUGAGUUCGGGAGAGGGAUGCGGAAUUCCAGGUGUAGCGGUGAAAUGCGUAGAUAUCUGGAGGAAUACCGGUGGCGAAGGCGGCAUCCUGGACCGAUAUUGACACUGAUGAGCGAAAGCCAGGGGAGCAAACGGG
RNAcentral lists this ribosomal RNA (253 nucleotides) under uncultured bacterium. RNAcentral's name for it is "partial 16S ribosomal RNA". It matches the Rfam family "Bacterial small subunit ribosomal RNA", at positions 524 to 776 of the family's 1533-position model. The record is from RNAcentral.